GGACUACCGGGGUAUCUAAUCCUGUUUGCUCCCCUAGCUUUCGCAGCUGAGUGUCAGUAAUGGUCCAGGUACCUGCUUUCGCCAUUGGUGUUCCUCCCGAUCUCUGCGCAUUUCACCGCUACUCCGGGAAUUCCAGUACCCUCUCCCAUACUCAAGCCUGGAAGUUUCUGUUGACCUCUCCCGGUUAAGCCAGGAGCUUUAACAACAGACUUUCCAAACCACCUACCUGCCCUUUACGCCUAGUAAUUCCGAGUAACGCUUGCCACCUUCGUAUUACCGCGGCUGCUGGCAC
RNAcentral lists this ribosomal RNA (292 nucleotides) under uncultured bacterium. RNAcentral's name for it is "partial 16S ribosomal RNA". The record is from RNAcentral.